AUGAACGUUGGCGGCGUGGAUUAGGCAUGCAAGUCGAGCGAGAACCCGCAAGGGGGACAGCGGCGAACGGGGUAGUAAUGCGUAGGUGACGUGCCCUGGGGACCGGAAUAGCCACGGGAAACUGUGGGUAAUGCCGGAUGAUCUCUUCGGAUUCGAAUAUCUGAGGAGCAAUGGGUGAGAUUCCGCCCUUGGAGCGGCUUACGUGGUAUUAGCUAGUUGGUGAGGUAAUGGCUCACCAAGGCGACGAUGCCUAGGGGGUGUGAGAGCAUGGCCCCCACCACUGGGACUGAGGUACUGCCCAGACACCUACGGGUGGCUGCAGUCGAGAAUCUUCGGCAAUGGACGCAAGUCUGACCGAGCGACGCCGCGUGCGGGAUGAAGGCCUUCGGGUUGUAAACCGCUGUCAGAGGGGAUGAAACGCAUAGGGGUUCUCUCCUAUGCUUGACAGAGCCUCAGAGGAAGCACGGGCUAAGUACGU
RNAcentral lists this ribosomal RNA (478 nucleotides) under uncultured bacterium. RNAcentral describes it as "bacterial SSU rRNA". It matches the Rfam family "Bacterial small subunit ribosomal RNA", at positions 29 to 506 of the family's 1533-position model. The record is from RNAcentral.